UACGAAGGGUGCAAGCGUUACUCGGAAUCACUGGGCGUAAAGCGUGCGUAGGCGGUUUCUUAAGUCUGUCGUGAAAGCCCUGGGCUCAACCUGGGAACGGCGAUGGAUACUGGGAAGCUAGAAUGCGAGAGAGGAUGGUGGAAUUCCAGGUGUAGCGGUGAAAUGCGUAGAUAUCUGGAGGAACACCGGUGGCGAAGGCGGCAUCCUGGACCAACACUGACACUGAAAAGCGAAAGCCAGGGGAGCAAACGGG
This 253-nucleotide ribosomal RNA is filed under the name uncultured bacterium. RNAcentral describes it as "partial 16S ribosomal RNA". It matches the Rfam family "Bacterial small subunit ribosomal RNA", at positions 524 to 776 of the family's 1533-position model. The record is from RNAcentral.